GAACUUAGCAGAGAUGCUUUGGUGCCUUCGGGGAACUCUGAGACAGGUGCUGCAUGGCUGUCGUCAGCUCGUGUUGUGAAAUGUUGGGUUAAGUCCCGCAACGAGCGCAACCCUUAUCCUUUGUUGCCAGCGGUCCGGCCGGGAACUCAAAGGAGACUGCCAGUGAUAAACUGGAGGAAGGUGGGGAUGACGUCAAGUCAUCAUGGCCCUUACGAGUAGGGCUACACACGUGCUACAAUGGCGCAUACAAAGAGCAGCGACCUCGCGAGAGCAAGCGGACCUCAUAAAGUGCGUCGUAGUCCGGAUUGGAGUCUGCAACUCGACUCCAUGAAGUCGGAAUCGCUAGUAAUCGUGGAUCAGAAUGCCACGGUGAAUACGUUCCCGGGCCUUGUACACACCGCCCGUCACACCAUGGGAGUGGGUUGCAAAAGAAGUAGGUAGCUUAACCUUCGGGAGGGCGCUUACCACUUUGUGAUUCAUGACUGGGGUGAAGUCGUAACAAGGUAGGCGUAGUGCU
This 517-nucleotide ribosomal RNA is filed under the name uncultured bacterium. RNAcentral describes it as "bacterial SSU rRNA". It matches the Rfam family "Bacterial small subunit ribosomal RNA", at positions 993 to 1509 of the family's 1533-position model. The record is from RNAcentral.